Molecule: ribosomal RNA, 514 nt
Filed under: uncultured bacterium
Lineage: Bacteria
Description: partial 16S ribosomal RNA
Rfam family: Bacterial small subunit ribosomal RNA
Source: RNAcentral
GAUGAACGCUGGCGGCGUGCCUAAUACAUGCAAGUCUAGCGAACAGAUGAGAAGCUUGCUUCUCUGAUGUUAGCGGCGGACGGGUGAGUAACACGUGGGUAAUCUACCUAUAAGACUGGGAUAACUCCGGGAAACCGGGGCUAAUACCGGCUAAUAUUUUUAACCGCAUGGUUCAAUAGUGAAAGCCGGUUUCGGCUGUCACUUAUAGCUGGACCCGCGCCGUAUUAGCUAGUUGGCAGGCUAACGGCUUACCAAGGCGACGAUACGUAGCCGACCUGAGAGGGUGAGCGGCCACCCUGGAACUGAGACACGGUCCAGACUCCUACGGGAGGCAGAAGUAGGGAAUCUUCCGCAAUGGGCGAAAGCCUGACGGAGCAACGCCGCGUGAGUGAUGAAGGUCUUCGGAUCGUAAAACUCUGUUGUUAGGGAAGAACAAAUUUGUUAGUAACUGAACAAAUCUUGACGGUACCUAACCAGAAAGCCACGGCUAACUACGUGCCAGCAGCCGCCGUAA